GAUGAAGAACGCAGCGAAAUGCGAUAAGUAAUGCGAAUUGCAGAUCUCCGUGAGUCAUUGAAUCUUUGAACGCACAUUGCGCCCGCCAGUAUUCUGGCGGGCAUGCCUGUCCGAGCGUCAUUUCAACCCUCGAACCCCUCCGGGGGGUCGGCGUUGGGGAUCGGCACUUACCUGCCGGCCCCGAAAUACAGUGGCGGUCUCGCCGCAGCCUCUCCUGCGCAGUAGUUUGCACACUCGCACCGGGAGCGCGGCGCGUCCACGGCCGUAAAACAACCCAAACUUCUGAAAUGUUGACCUCGGAUCAGGUAGGAAUACCCGCUGAACUUAAGCAUAUCAAUAAGCGGAGGA
This 348-nucleotide unclassified non-coding RNA is filed under the name soil metagenome. RNAcentral describes it as "partial contains 5.8S ribosomal RNA, internal transcribed spacer 2, and large subunit ribosomal RNA". The stretch from base 1 to 120 matches the Rfam family "5.8S ribosomal RNA", at positions 35 to 154 of the family's 154-position model. The record is from RNAcentral.